Molecule: long non-coding RNA, 357 nt
Organism: Heterocephalus glaber (naked mole-rat)
Lineage: Eukaryota; Metazoa; Chordata; Mammalia; Rodentia; Bathyergidae
Source: RefSeq, a predicted model, not a curated record
UCUAGAUUUCUGGAGGGUUGCUAUCCAAUCUCCUUGGAUUUGUUCUUAUCUCAGUAAUGCCCAGGUCCUUGAGCAGGUCACCUGACCUACUCAAGUGUUAAUUUCCUUAGCACAAACAUGGAGAUAAUGGAAUCAACUCUAUAGAGUCAUUGGAGGAUUAAAUAAGGUGGUCCAUUUAAACAUGCUUAGCACAGGCCUUGACAUCGACUCAAAGCACAAGAACUGAGGACAGCAAACAGCUUCCUGGUGCACAGGAGGUGGAAAUGGCCCAGGAUGGGCCUGGCCUCAGCAGCUCUCCAGGCUCUUCCUUCCUUACUCCUGUAUCCAAGACCAGCCCUGAAACAAAUGCUUGCCAUG